ACUCCUACGGGAGGCAGCAGUGGGGAAUAUUGCACAAUGGGGGAAACCCGUAGCAUGCAGCCAUGCCGCGUGUGUGAAGAAGGCCUUCGGGUUGUAAAGCACUUUCAGCGAGGAGGAAAGGUUAGUAGUUAAUACCUGCUAGCUGUGACGUUACUCGCAGAAGAAGCACCGGCUAACUCCGUGCCAGCAGCCGCGGUAAUACGGAGGGUGCGAGCGUUAAUCGGAAUUACUGGGCGUAAAGCGUGCGCAGGCGGUUUGUUAAGCGAGAUGUGAAAGCCCGGCUC
This 284-nucleotide ribosomal RNA is filed under the name uncultured bacterium. RNAcentral's name for it is "partial 16S ribosomal RNA". It matches the Rfam family "Bacterial small subunit ribosomal RNA", at positions 335 to 608 of the family's 1533-position model. The record is from RNAcentral.